Molecule: ribosomal RNA, 675 nt
Filed under: uncultured bacterium
Lineage: Bacteria
Description: bacterial SSU rRNA
Rfam family: Bacterial small subunit ribosomal RNA
Source: RNAcentral
GUCGAGCGGAAUGACGAGAGCUUGCUCUCUGAUUUUAGCGGCGGACGGGUGAGUAACACGUGGGCAACCUGCCCUACAGAUGGGGAUAACUCCGGGAAACCGGGGCUAAUACCGAAUAAUCAGUUUGUCCGCAUGGACAAACUCUGAAAGACGGUUUCGGCUGUCACUGUAGGAUGGGCCCGCGGCGCAUUAGCUAGUUGGUGGGGUAAUGGCCUACCAAGGCAACGAUGCGUAGCCGACCUGAGAGGGUGAUCGGCCACACUGGGACUGAGACACGGCCCAGACUCCUACGGGAGGCAGCAGUAGGGAAUCUUCCACAAUGGACGAAAGUCUGAUGGAGCAAUGCCGCGUGAGCGAAGAAGGUUUUCGGAUCGUAAAGCUCUGUUGUAAGGGAAGAACACGUACGGGAGUAACUGCCCGUGCCAUGACGGUACCUUAUUAGAAAGCCACGGCUAACUACGUGCCAGCAGCCGCGGUAAUACGUAGGUGGCAAGCGUUGUCCGGAAUUAUUGGGCGUAAAGCACGCGCAGGCGGUUCUUUAAGUCUGAUGUGAAAGCCCACGGCUCAACCGUGGAGGGUCAUUGGAAACUGGAGAACUUGAGUACAGAAGAGGAAAGCGGAAUUCCACGUGUAGCGGUGAAAUGCGUAGAGAUGUGGAGGAACACCAGUGGCGAA